GGGCCUGUAGCUCAGUGGUCAGAGCGGUUGCCUCAUAAGCAGCUGGUCGCCGGUUCAAAUCUCGGCCGGGCCCACCA
This 77-nucleotide transfer RNA is filed under the name Candidatus Thiodiazotropha sp. RNAcentral describes it as "tRNA-Met". It matches the Rfam family "tRNA". From Rfam's summary of the family: Transfer RNA (tRNA) molecules are approximately 80 nucleotides in length. Lineage: Bacteria; Pseudomonadati; Pseudomonadota; Gammaproteobacteria; Chromatiales; Sedimenticolaceae. RNAcentral also lists the same sequence under 1 other name. The record is from RNAcentral.